GAUCCUAGGAAAGACCGAAUAGAAAAUAUCAUAAACACUGCGAGAGAACAACAGAAAACGUGACUUCCUAAUGAUUUAUGAACCCCGCGAUAAAGUUCGCUCGAAGAGAGCGAGGCGAGGACGCGCCUUGCGCCGAAUCUUAAUGCGCCUUGACUUUCGUUUCCUAGCGAUAUAAACCAGAGGGCACAGUGCUGGGUCAGUUGCUGCAACAAAACGAAAAUCAGGAGCCAACGACCUCCCAUAAAGGUUUUACUUGGUGUCUAAAUCAAGUGGGCUUCUUCUGCAAGUGUAUGGGGUGCUCUCCAGCCACGCUCAGCAGCUGAUGGAACAGAGAGAACUCAGAAACUGCACCUCCGGAGUAGAGCCAACACAGCAGAGUUUAGAGCCAAGACGAGGUGACGCCUUUGAAUUCAUUCAGUUUAUAAGGACAGCAUUUUUUAAAGGUGAAAAGUAAAAAAACCCAGCUUAUUAUUUAAAUAGUAAAAUACAAAGGUUUCAAACCUGCACUGAAAUAAGGAUGGUUUUAGUGUUUGUAUGAACAGCUGUUUAACAGUGUUUACAUGUUGCCACCCUGUUAAUCCAGCAGCAGGUAGAGAGCCUGAACUGGACUGAAGAAAAGAUCAAUGCGUCCACUUGUUCAUUUGUUUAGCAGAGUUGGAUUUCUUUAAUAGAUGGUAAAGGCCUGGACUCCUGCAGUUUGUUACAUUAAUUUAAAUGGACUGUAUCUAUUCAGCGACUCGCCCUACAGCUGUUCCUGUGCAACUGCACCACCUCAGACACCCAGUUAAGGCAAAACACUAGCCCUUUACAGUUAUUUCUUGUGAGCUCUUGGCUUGCAGCAUGAAUUUGUGUAUCCUCUUUUCUAACUCCAUAUAUUCCUCCACAGUGUUCACUGCACACUUUUUAUAAAUCAGAAGUGAGAAGAUGAGUAGAGAACAAACAUGGGAGAUGGUUGUAGUGUCAGAUCAGUGAUAGUUGCACUGCUUUUUGGAGACAUUACAGGUUGUGUGUUUAUCUUGCUAAAUCAGUGUAGAGACAGCGAGUUCAGUUCUAAACACAUACAGGGUUAAGGAAGCCAGCGCUUCUCCACACUACAGAGAACAAGACCAAAUGAGUCGACUCGCAUCAUAAGAGGAUUUUUUUCCUUCCCCUUCUUCUCAGUGUGUGAAGGAAUCCAAACUUUCAAGUUAUUGGUAGUUUGGACAGUUGUUCAGUCUGUCUUUAAAUUUGUAUAUUGAGGGAGAGGUGCAGGUACCUAGAGAAAUAAGGAGGAGUUGAGGCAAAUACAGGCUGGAACAUGGACCCUACUGAGCUGGAGCUGUGUGCCGUGGUCAUGCAGUUUCCAAAACCAGACAAGGAUCCCUCUGGCUUUGUGAAUCAGCUGACGUGGUAUGCCACUUUGAUCCUAAGAGAUGCUGUACAAUUGAUGUUGACAUGUUUAAGGGGUAGAUUUGGUGAGACAGAGCCAGCUGUGACUAUCACAGUUCAAGAUGAGAGUACACAGAGUAGGCCUGACUGGACAAAGACGUAUAAAACUCAGUUAAUGCAAUGUGUUAAGCUGGGAAUAGUGAAGGGGCAAGAAGCUGCACACCUCUCACUUCCGCUCAUCUGUAUUUGAGCUGUACAUUUUUAGACUAACAAACCUACUUUGUUGUUGUUGUUGUUGUCCUCGCUGAGCACACCUAGUUUCCGGACCACAAUUCUAAUGACUAGAUCUUUCUUUUCCUCCUCCUUUCUAAAUUGACUGUAGUGUUGCACAGCACCCUAGUCGAGGACAGUGGGCGGCAGACAUGCUUUGAUAUUUGAUAACUUAGAGAAAAAGUAUAUUGUACCUCCAUGGUUAAGUUGCAGUUUACCAAGCUGUUUCCUGUCCCACCAGAGAAGCUGCUGUGGGAUGCAGGGACCCAGAAGUUGUGUUGAGCUGUGAAGAAGCUGAAGACCACGCUGUUCCAGACCCUCAUCAAUGAUGACACCUCUGCACCACAUGUUGUUCUCGGAGACAUUGGCCUUAGGAAACUGAAUUUGGAGAGAACAACCUGGUGAUGCAAACAGGACCGUAACUGAUCCAUCAGAGACGAGGAUGCUGGCUAUGGAUGCCUGCGCCAACCCUGAGUUGAGACUGAGCUCUUAAAGGGACUCUAUCAGCAGUUGGAAGGUCGGUCAGCUUUACCUGAGUCCACCACCGCCUUGGAUGCGAUGACUGUGUAGCAGAUGAAUAUGCAGUGUGAACAUUCUCAAAACCUUACAGUGCGUAUUAUUUUAUUUUUGGGGGUUAAUGCCCACUUCUAUUGUUGAGAUGUCCAUGUAAUGCAUUCAGUUCUUUGUUUCUUGUCAUAUUGUUCAAUAUUUUUGCAUAGAUGUGUUGCCUUGAAUGGUUUUGUUGGUCAGGAGCUUUUAUUUUGAAGGCCAUUGCCCCGUUAUUUUGUUUCCUGUUUCUGCGCGGCCCUCCUCAGUUACUGUGGAAAGCUGAGGAGAGGUGGGUUAUAUACUCUGCUCCUGUAAUUUUAAGUGUUUUAUUUCCAUAAAAAGAAAAAGCACUUUACCGUUCAGACUGUUAUGGCACAGAGUUAUAAGCCACUGUUUUCUGUUGCAUAGUUGCUAACGAUGUGAAAAUUGUUCUUUCCUGUGUGACGUACACAACUUUAUUAAUGUGCUAACUAGGCAUAGUUGCAAUGUUUCAGCUAGGUUGAAGCACAUUGAAGGUCUCACGUGGAGUCUGUUGUUGCCUUUUUCUGCCCUUCAGAUGUGAAUAGAGAGACCUGACAGGUGGAUGUACUGACUUAGUUGUGUUUCACACAGGUAAUAAGAGUGUUUUAUUUGUAUUAUUAUUUUGAUUUCUUUAGCACACGCUCAGUUACUGUGGAAAGCUGAGAGACCUGACAGGUGGAUAUACUGAUUUAGUUGUGUUUCACACAGAGAAUAAACUCUCCUGUGGAUGGCAAACCCCUGUCUACGAUUCGUCACUAAAGACACAACGCAGAGAUUUAACUUGAUGGCCGCGUAGAGAUGAGACCGGCUACAACUGCAGCAACUGAACUGUAACCGAUCCCCUGGAGUUGGACUUUUUUUUUUAAGUUGUCAGUGUUUCUUGACUCUUUGAAGACUUGGUUUGGAUUUUGGAACUUUGCCACAGAGUUGCACAAGGCUGGGUCAUUUUCCCAUCAUUAAAUGGUGGAAGUACCAGGGCAGGCUCAGUGGUUACAUUAGUGAGAGAUUCUCCAUACCCAUAGUUGUGCUUUGACAUGUUAUAAGCUCGUCUUGAUAAGUGUAGUUGUUUUCAAAAUCAUCACCACCCAAAUUUUGAUUACUUUAUUUAAAUUUAGGGAUAGCUUUCUGAGUUGUCUCGCUGUGCCAAGUUUUUUUCCUUCAUGAUCUGUUGGUAGGCAAAUCAAAC
Monopterus albus (swamp eel) is the source of this 3394-nucleotide long non-coding RNA. RefSeq lists it as uncharacterized. NCBI's taxonomy places the organism in Eukaryota, Metazoa, Chordata, Actinopteri, Synbranchiformes, Synbranchidae. The record is from RefSeq and is a predicted model, not a curated record. The transcript has 3 exons.